UAGGGAAUCUUCCGCAAUGGGCGAAAGCCUGACGGAGCAACGCCGCGUGAGUGAUGAAGGUCUUCGGAUCGUAAAACUCUGUUAUUAGGGAAGAACAAACGUGUAAGUAACUGUGCACGUCUUGACGGUACCUAAUCAGAAAGCCACGGCUAACUACGUGCCAGCAGCCGCGGUAAUACGUAGGUGGCAAGCGUUAUCCGGAAUUAUUGGGCGUAAAGCGCGCGUAGGCGGUUUUUUAAGUCUGAUGUGAAAGCCACGGCUCAACCGUGGAGGGUCAUUGGAAACUGGAAAAACUUGAGUGCAGAAGAGGAAAGUGGAAUUCCAUGUGUAGCGGUGAAAUGCGCAGAGAUAUGGAGGAACACCAGUGGCGAAGGCGACUUUCUGGUCUGUAACUGACGCUGAUGUGCGGAAGCGUGGGGAUCAAACAGGAUUAGAUACCCUGGUAGUCCACGCCGUAAAACGAUGAGUGCUAAGUGUUAGGGGGUUUCCGCCCCUUAGUGCUGCAGCUAACGCAUUAAGCACUCCGCCUGGGGAGUACGACCCGCAAGGUUGAAACUCAAAGGAAUUGAC
This 570-nucleotide ribosomal RNA is filed under the name uncultured bacterium. Its description in RNAcentral is "partial 16S ribosomal RNA". It matches the Rfam family "Bacterial small subunit ribosomal RNA", at positions 355 to 914 of the family's 1533-position model. The record is from RNAcentral.